CCCUUAGAUGUUCUGGGCCGCACGCGCGCUACACUGAUGCAUUCAACGAGUCUAAAACCUGCUCUGAUAGGGGUGGGUAAUCUUUUGAAUGUGCAUCGUGAUUGGGAUAGAUGAUUGCAAUUUUUCAUCUUCAACGAGGAAUGCCUAGUAAACGCAAGUCAUCAGCUUGCAUUGAUUACGUCCCUGCCCUCUGUACACACCGCCCGUCGCUCCUACCGAUUGAAUGAUCCGAUGAAUAUCAUGGAUUGAGGAUGCAAGUAGGUUCGCCUAUCUUCAUCUUCGAGAAGCGAAGUAAAUCUUAUCAUUUAGAGGAAGGAGAAGUCGUAACA
RNAcentral lists this ribosomal RNA (329 nucleotides) under uncultured eukaryote. RNAcentral's name for it is "partial 18S ribosomal RNA". It matches the Rfam family "Eukaryotic small subunit ribosomal RNA", at positions 1470 to 1796 of the family's 1831-position model. The record is from RNAcentral.